This 74-nucleotide transfer RNA is filed under the name Algoriphagus sp. A40. Its description in RNAcentral is "tRNA-Arg". It matches the Rfam family "tRNA". Rfam says of the family: Transfer RNA (tRNA) molecules are approximately 80 nucleotides in length. Their secondary structure includes four short double-helical elements and three loops (D, anti-codon, and T loops). Further hydrogen bonds mediate the characteristic L-shaped molecular structure. tRNAs have two regions of fundamental functional importance: the anti-codon, which is responsible for specific mRNA codon recognition, and the 3' end, to which the tRNAs corresponding amino acid is attached (by aminoacyl-tRNA synthetases). tRNAs cope with the degeneracy of the genetic code in two manners: having more than one tRNA (with a specific anti-codon) for a particular amino acid; and 'wobble' base-pairing, i.e. permitting non-standard base-pairing at the 3rd anti-codon position. The record is from RNAcentral. Lineage: Bacteria; Pseudomonadati; Bacteroidota; Cytophagia; Cytophagales; Cyclobacteriaceae.
GCGUGCGUAGUUCAACUGGAUAGAAUAUCAGAUUUCGGCUCUGAGGGUUGAGGGUUCGAAUCCUUCCGCGCGUA